AUUGAACGCUGGCGGCAGGCCUAACACAUGCAAGUCGAACGGUAGCACAGAGAGCUUGCUCUCGGGUGACGAGUGGCGGACGGGUGAGUAAUGUCUGGGAAACUGCCCGAUGGAGGGGGAUAACUACUGGAAACGGUAGCUAAUACCGCAUAACGUCGCAAGACCAAAGUGGGGGACCUUCGGGCCUCACACCAUCGGAUGUGCCCAGAUGGGAUUAGCUAGUAGGUGGGGUAAUGGCUCACCUAGGCGACGAUCCCUAGCUGGUCUGAGAGGAUGACCAGCCACACUGGAACGGAGAGACGGUCCAGACUCCUACGGGAGGCAGCAGUGGGGAAUAUUGCACAAUGGGCGCAAGCCUGAUGCAGCCAUGCCGCGUGUAUGAAGAAGGCCUUCGGGUUGUAGAGUACUUUCAGCGGGGAGGAAGGCGGUGGAGUUAAUAACUUCACCGAUUGACGUUACCCGCAGAAGAAGCACCGGCUAACUCCGUGCCAGCCGCCGCGGUAA
Molecule: ribosomal RNA, 504 nt
Filed under: uncultured bacterium
Lineage: Bacteria
Description: partial 16S ribosomal RNA
Rfam family: Bacterial small subunit ribosomal RNA
Source: RNAcentral